GACGAACGCUGGCGGCGUGCUUAACACAUGCAAGUCGAGCGGUAAGGCCCUUUCGGGGGUACACGAGCGGCGAACGGGUGAGUAACACGUGGGUGACCUGCCCUCAGCUCUGGGAUAAGCCUGGGAAACCGGGUCUAAUACCGGAUAUGACUCCAUGACGCAUGUUGUGGGGUGAAAGCCUUGUGCGGCUGAGGAUGGGCCCGCGGCCUAUCAGCUUGUUGGUAGGGGUGAUGGCCUACCAAGGCGACGACGGGUAGCCGGCCUGAGAGGGCGACCGGCCACACUGGGACUGAGACACGGCCCAGACUCC
This 310-nucleotide ribosomal RNA is filed under the name uncultured bacterium. Its description in RNAcentral is "bacterial SSU rRNA". It matches the Rfam family "Bacterial small subunit ribosomal RNA", at positions 28 to 339 of the family's 1533-position model. The record is from RNAcentral.